RNAcentral lists this ribosomal RNA (190 nucleotides) under uncultured bacterium. RNAcentral describes it as "partial 16S ribosomal RNA". It matches the Rfam family "Bacterial small subunit ribosomal RNA", at positions 1304 to 1500 of the family's 1533-position model. The record is from RNAcentral.
GCUGAAACCCGACCUCCAUGAAGUUGGAUUCGCUAGUAAUCGCGCAUCAGCCAUGGCGCGGUGAAUACGUUCCCGGGCCUUGUACACACCGCCCGUCAAGCCAUGGGAGCCGGGGGUGCCUGAAGUUCGUGACCGCAAGGAGCGACCUAGGGCAAAACUGGUGACUGGGGCUAAGUCGUAACAAGGUAGC